This is a non-coding RNA of Paramarasmius palmivorus, 94 nucleotides long. Lineage: Eukaryota; Fungi; Basidiomycota; Agaricomycetes; Agaricales; Marasmiaceae. The record is from the annotation of a GenBank genome assembly.
GGUUCGAUGGCGUAGUUGGUUAUCGCAUCUGUCUAACAUUGCGCUGUGGAACGGAAUGCACAGAAGGUCCCCAGUUCGAGCCUGGGUCGAAUCA